GAAGAUCGGAGAGAGAGAAGCAAUGAGGAUCGGUGAGAGAGGCAGUGAAGAUAGGAGAAAGAUCAGAAGAUCGAACGGGUGUUCCAUACAACAUCAGAUUCAGAUCUGGUUCAAGUGGUGGAGGUGACGGUGGUUCCUCCUGCCGGAAAACCACUUAGUAGACACUUGGCGGUGGUGGUCCAUGAUCUAAAAGAUGAUCUGAAAUCCAAAAAGAGGAUCCAGUUCCAAGAUGCUACCAGAUCCAAAAGAUGCUCCAGAUCCGGUUGAAGAUGUUCGAUGUUGAAGAUGAUAUUCCAUAUAACGCCUAGCAACUGCCCUUUCAUUGGUUGGGUCGACCCACCGAUGUGCUUACGGUCAACUAGGAUCAUACCAGGUCUUUUGAGGAACAUCAACAACCUGCAAGCUGAACUGUUUACCCGUGAGCAAGAAAUUCGGAAGAAGAAGAGGGUUAUAUGGUUACUGAUAUUAGCGUUAGUGAUUGGCAGCUUACUUGUUAGCAUUGUUUGUUGUGAUUAAGAAAUAGGUGGUACUUAGUUGGAUUAUCCUUCUUAGUAUGUUAA
Molecule: long non-coding RNA, 560 nt
Organism: Helianthus annuus (common sunflower)
Lineage: Eukaryota; Viridiplantae; Streptophyta; Magnoliopsida; Asterales; Asteraceae
Exons: 3
Source: RefSeq, a predicted model, not a curated record